RNAcentral lists this ribosomal RNA (463 nucleotides) under uncultured bacterium. RNAcentral describes it as "bacterial SSU rRNA". It matches the Rfam family "Bacterial small subunit ribosomal RNA", at positions 335 to 795 of the family's 1533-position model. The record is from RNAcentral.
ACUCCUACGGGAGGCAGCAGUGAGGAAUAUUGGUCAAUGGACGCAAGUCUGAACCAGCCACGUCGCGUGAAGGAAGACGGCCCUACGGGUUGUAAACUUCUUUUAUACGGGAAUAAAGUGCCCCACGCGUGGGGUUUUGCAUGUACCGUAUGAAUAAGGAUCGGCUAACUCCGUGCCAGCAGCCGCGGUAAUACGGAGGAUCCGAGCGUUAUCCGGAUUUAUUGGGUUUAAAGGGUGCUCAGGCGGGGGAUUAAGUCGGCGGUGAAAUUUUGCAGCUCAACUGUAAAAGUGCCUUCGAAACUGGUUUCCUUGAGUGUGGAUGAGGUAGGCGGAAUUUGUGGUGUAGCGGUGAAAUGCAUAGAUAUCACGAGGAACUCCGAUUGCGCAGGCAGCUUACUAAACCAUAACUGACGCUCAAGCACGAAGGCGUGGGGAUCAAACAGGAUUAGAUACCCUGGUAGUC